Molecule: ribosomal RNA, 269 nt
Filed under: uncultured prokaryote
Description: partial 16S ribosomal RNA
Rfam family: Bacterial small subunit ribosomal RNA
Source: RNAcentral
UACGUAGGUGGCAAGCGUUGUCCGGAAUUAUUGGGCGUAAAGCGCGCGCAGGCGGUCCUUUAAGUCUGAUGUGAAAGCCCACGGCUCAACCGUGGAGGGUCAUUGGAAACUGGGGGACUUGAGUGCAGAAGAGGGAAGUGGAAUUCCAUGUGUAGCGGUGAAAUGCGUAGAGAUAUGGAGGAACACCAGUGGCGAAGGCGGCUUCCUGGUCUGUAACUGACACUGAGGCGCGAAAGCGUGGGGAGCAAACAGGAUUAGAUACCCGUGUA